This is a small nuclear RNA of Grus americana (Whooping crane), 141 nucleotides long. RefSeq annotates it as U11 spliceosomal RNA. Lineage: Eukaryota; Metazoa; Chordata; Aves; Gruiformes; Gruidae. The record is from RefSeq and is a predicted model, not a curated record. The transcript has a single exon.
AAAAAGGGCUUCUGCCGUGCGUGGCACAGGGGGGCCCUGCGGCCGCCCCCGCGGAAUCGACAUCAAGAGAUUUCAGAAGCACAAUUUUUGCAGUGGGGGUCUGAGCUGUCCCGGCGCUGCCAUCGGGAUGCCAGAGCCCCU